Molecule: ribosomal RNA, 468 nt
Filed under: uncultured bacterium
Lineage: Bacteria
Description: partial 16S ribosomal RNA
Rfam family: Bacterial small subunit ribosomal RNA
Source: RNAcentral
GACGAGCGCUGGCGGCGUGCUUAACACAUGCAAGUCGAACGGAAAGGCCCUGCUUUUGUGGGGUGCUCGAGCGGCGAACGGGUGAGUAACACGUGAGUAACCUGCCCUUGACUUUGGGAUAACUUCAGGAAACUGGGGCUAAUACCGGAUAGGAGCUCCUGCUGCAUGGUGGGGGUUGGAAAGUUUCGGCGGUUGGGGAUGGACUCGCGGCUUAUCAGCUUGUUGGUGGGGUAGUGGCUUACCAAGGCUUUGACGGGUAGCCGGCCUGAGAGGGUGACCGGCCACAUUGGGACUGAGAUACGGCCCAGACUCCUGCGGGAGGCAGCAGUGGGGAAUAUUGCACAAUGGGCGGAAGCCUGAUGCAGCAACGCCGCGUGCGGGAUGACGGCCUUCGGGUUGUAAACCGCUUUCGCCUGUGACGAAGCGUGAGUGACGGUAAUGGGUAAAGAAGCACCGGCUAACUACGUG